Molecule: ribosomal RNA, 442 nt
Filed under: uncultured bacterium
Lineage: Bacteria
Description: bacterial SSU rRNA
Rfam family: Bacterial small subunit ribosomal RNA
Source: RNAcentral
AACGCGAAGAACCUUACCUGGGCUCGAACGGCUUCUCAACGCCGGUGGAAACAUCGGUACCCCGCAAGGGGGUGGAGUCGAGGUGCUGCAUGGCUGUCGUCAGCUCGUGUCGUGAGAUGUUGGGUUAAGUCCCGCAACGAGCGCAACCCUUGUCCUGUGUUGCCAUACCGAAAGGUGGAACUCGCAGGAGACCGCCAGCGAUAAGCUGGAGGAAGGUGGGGAUGACGUCAAGUCCUCAUGGCCUUUAUGUCCAGGGCUACACACGUGCUACAAUGGACGGUACAAAGGGUCGCUAACCCGCGAGGGGGAGCCAAUCCCAAAAAACCGUUCUCAGUUCGGAUUGCAGGCUGCAACCCGCCUGCAUGAAGCUGGAAUCGCUAGUAAUGGCAGAUCAGCACGCUGCCGUGAAUACGUUCCCGGGCCUUGUACACACCGAGACGUA